Molecule: long non-coding RNA, 736 nt
Filed under: Mytilus galloprovincialis (Mediterranean mussel)
Lineage: Eukaryota; Metazoa; Mollusca; Bivalvia; Mytilida; Mytilidae
Source: RNAcentral
AAUAGGUAUAAAUAUUAAAAAAUAGGGUUACAGCAUUCAACAUUGUGUUAUAAUCUUAAUUCCUAUUUAAGCAAAGAAGCACAAAAAGGCAUAGAGAUUAAGCACAAUUUCAAAAAAAAAAAAAUAAGGAGAGACCAAUUCAAAAAUGUACUACAGCACAAUAACAAUGACGGUAUGUAUAAGUACAGAGACGCAUCAUAUGUAUCAAAGAAACAGAAAGGCCUAUAGACCAAGCACAGAAAAGGGUAGAUAUAUCUCGAUUUACCUCGAAAUCAAAGAACAUGUCGGAGGCGGAUUUAGGGAGGGCAGGUGGUUCGCCACCACCCCUUUUCGAGAAAAAAAAUUGGUUGAUGAUAUAGGGAAUCACUGAAGCGGGCCCCCUCUUAGGCAGCCAGUAAGCCCCACGUCCUAACUACACAAUAAUUUUGGCCAACUAAAUUAGACUCCACUGAAAUAUGCAUUAUGCCGUGCAGACAGACUGGAGCCAGCAUUUAAUCAAAUUUAUUAUUCAGUACAAUACAAUAAUCUCAAAUAUACAUAUGCAAACAUCUUAUUAAACACAGUAAUAGUAUCUAACACACAACUUUGUGAACCAAAAAAUAUACUUCCGACAACAAUAGUAAUAAAUAUCUAUUAACUACCAAGAACAUUCCAAAUGUUAAAUAUCAUAUUAUGAAUACCCGUCAUAAAAAACCAACUUAUAUAGUUUGGAAACCUGCGCACGGAGCAAUGCAAG